This 381-nucleotide ribosomal RNA is filed under the name uncultured Lachnospiraceae bacterium. RNAcentral's name for it is "bacterial SSU rRNA". It matches the Rfam family "Bacterial small subunit ribosomal RNA", at positions 355 to 745 of the family's 1533-position model. Lineage: Bacteria; Bacillati; Bacillota; Clostridia; Lachnospirales; Lachnospiraceae. The record is from RNAcentral.
UGGGGAAGUAUUGCACAAUGGGGGAAACCCGUACGAUGCAGCGACGCCGCGUGAGUGAAGAAGUAUUUCGGUUAUGUAAAGACUCUAUCAGCAGGGAAGAAGAAGACGGUACCGGACUAAGAAGCCCCGGCUAACUACGUGCCAGCAGCCGCGGUAAUACGUAGGGGGCGAAGCGUUAUCCGGAUUUACUGGGUGUAAAGGGAGCGUAGACGGUUGAUCAAGUCUGAUGUGAAAGCCCGGGGCGUCAACCCCGGGACUGCAUUGGAAACUGAAUAGCUGGAGUGCAGGGGAGGUAAGUGGAAUUCCUAGUGUAGCGGUGAAAUGCGUAGAUAUUAGGAGGAACACCAGUGGCGAAGGCGGCUUACUGGACUGUAACUGACG